UACUAUGUUACGACUUAUCUCAACUAAUAAAUGAGAGCGACGGGCGAUGUGUACAUAUUAUAGAGCUAAAAUCAUAUUUACAAUCUACAAAAAAUUACAAUUAAAUCCAAUUUUAUAUUACUAAAAUUUUCAAGCAAUAAUCCAAUAAAUCAAAAUAAAUGUAAUCCAUCUCCACCAAAUUAUAAACUGCACCUUGACCUGAAAUAAAUUUUAAAAACAAAACUAGAAAAUUAUUAAAACCCUAAAAAGAUCCUCAUUAUAACGGCGGUAUACAUAUAUAAAUUUGGUAAGGUACAACGCGGAAUAUCGAUUAAGGAACAGAUUCCUCUAAAUAGACUAAAAUACCGCCAAAUUCUUUAAGUUUCAAGACCUUAACUAAUACUACCUAGGUUAAAAUAAUUUAUAUCCAAAAUAAUAGGGUAUCUAAUCCUAGUUU
RNAcentral lists this ribosomal RNA (436 nucleotides) under Angustonicus mare. Its description in RNAcentral is "partial 12S ribosomal RNA". Lineage: Eukaryota; Metazoa; Arthropoda; Insecta; Blattodea; Blattidae. The record is from RNAcentral.